This is a long non-coding RNA of Equus quagga, 326 nucleotides long. RefSeq lists it as uncharacterized. Lineage: Eukaryota; Metazoa; Chordata; Mammalia; Perissodactyla; Equidae. The transcript is spliced from 3 exons. The record is from RefSeq and is a predicted model, not a curated record.
GGACUACACCUGCCCUGGCCCCACCCUACUUUCUCCUGGUUAAGAAGCAGGGAGCCAGACCAACUUCUUUCCAUUUUUAUGAAAUAGGACUGUGAGAACCAGCUGACACUCUGCUCCUGGGAAGAUGGAGUGACUUAUUGGAUUGAUAAGUGUGGGAUGGAAAACCAGGUGUGGCCCCUCACCCCCUUAGGAGUGAGCCAGCCAGCAGAAAGCAGGUGCUCUCCUCUGCUCUGCCAUCAGGCGGUGUUAUUGAAACCAGUCUAGUCUCACCAGUACAGACUCAGCAACCGGGGCAGUAACUCGUCCCUCUACCAGAAGGAUUCCUG